Molecule: ribosomal RNA, 2059 nt
Filed under: Escherichia coli
Lineage: Bacteria; Pseudomonadati; Pseudomonadota; Gammaproteobacteria; Enterobacterales; Enterobacteriaceae
Also listed under: 1 other name
Description: partial 23S ribosomal RNA
Rfam family: Bacterial large subunit ribosomal RNA
Source: RNAcentral
GAGCACUGUUUCGGCAAGGGGGUCAUCCCGACUUACCAACCCGAUGCAAACUGCGAAUACCGGAGAAUGUUAUCACGGGAGACACACGGCGGGUGCUAACGUCCGUCGUGAAGAGGGAAACAACCCAGACCGCCAGCUAAGGUCCCAAAGUCAUGGUUAAGUGGGAAACGAUGUGGGAAGGCCCAGACAGCCAGGAUGUUGGCUUAGAAGCAGCCAUCAUUUAAAGAAAGCGUAAUAGCUCACUGGUCGAGUCGGCCUGCGCGGAAGAUGUAACGGGGCUAAACCAUGCACCGAAGCUGCGGCAGCGACACUAUGUGUUGUUGGGUAGGGGAGCGUUCUGUAAGCCUGUGAAGGUGUGCUGUGAGGCACGCUGGAGGUAUCAGAAGUGCGAAUGCUGACAUAAGUAACGAUAAAGCGGGUGAAAAGCCCGCUCGCCGGAAGACCAAGGGUUCCUGUCCAACGUUAAUCGGGGCAGGGUGAGUCGACCCCUAAGGCGAGGCCGAAAGGCGUAGUCGAUGGGAAACAGGUUAAUAUUCCUGUACUUGGUGUUACUGCGAAGGGGGGACGGAGAAGGCUAUGUUGGCCGGGCGACGGUUGUCCCGGUUUAAGCGUGUAGGCUGGUUUUCCAGGCAAAUCCGGAAAAUCAAGGCUGAGGCGUGAUGACGAGGCACUACGGUGCUGAAGCAACAAAUGCCCUGCUUCCAGGAAAAGCCUCUAAGCAUCAGGUAACAUCAAAUCGUACCCCAAACCGACACAGGUGGUCAGGUAGAGAAUACCAAGGCGCUUGAGAGAACUCGGGUGAAGGAACUAGGCAAAAUGGUGCCGUAACUUCGGGAGAAGGCACGCUGAUAUGUAGGUGAAGUCCCUCGCGGAUGGAGCUGAAAUCAGUCGAAGAUACCAGCUGGCUGCAACUGUUUAUUAAAAACACAGCACUGUGCAAACACGAAAGUGGACGUAUACGGUGUGACGCCUGCCCGGUGCCGGAAGGUUAAUUGAUGGGGUCAGCGCAAGCGAAGCUCUUGAUCGAAGCCCCGGUAAACGGCGGCCGUAACUAUAACGGUCCUAAGGUAGCGAAAUUCCUUGUCGGGUAAGUUCCGACCUGCACGAAUGGCGUAAUGAUGGCCAGGCUGUCUCCACCCGAGACUCAGUGAAAUUGAACUCGCUGUGAAGAUGCAGUGUACCCGCGGCAAGACGGAAAGACCCCGUGAACCUUUACUAUAGCUUGACACUGAACAUUGAGCCUUGAUGUGUAGGAUAGGUGGGAGGCUUUGAAGUGUGGACGCCAGUCUGCAUGGAGCCGACCUUGAAAUACCACCCUUUAAUGUUUGAUGUUCUAACGUGGACCCGUAAUCCGGGUUGCGGACAGUGUCUGGUGGGUAGUUUGACUGGGGCGGUCUCCUCCUAAAGAGUAACGGAGGAGCACGAAGGUUGGCUAAUCCUGGUCGGACAUCAGGAGGUUAGUGCAAUGGCAUAAGCCAGCUUGACUGCGAGCGUGACGGCGCGAGCAGGUGCGAAAGCAGGUCAUAGUGAUCCGGUGGUUCUGAAUGGAAGGGCCAUCGCUCAACGGAUAAAAGGUACUCCGGGGAUAACAGGCUGAUACCGCCCAAGAGUUCAUAUCGACGGCGGUGUUUGGCACCUCGAUGUCGGCUCAUCACAUCCUGGGGCUGAAGUAGGUCCCAAGGGUAUGGCUGUUCGCCAUUUAAAGUGGUACGCGAGCUGGGUUUAGAACGUCGUGAGACAGUUCGGUCCCUAUCUGCCGUGGGCGCUGGAGAACUGAGGGGGGCUGCUCCUAGUACGAGAGGACCGGAGUGGACGCAUCACUGGUGUUCGGGUUGUCAUGCCAAUGGCACUGCCCGGUAGCUAAAUGCGGAAGAGAUAAGUGCUGAAAGCAUCUAAGCACGAAACUUGCCCCGAGAUGAGUUCUCCCUGACCCUUUAAGGGUCCUGAAGGAACGUUGAAGACGACGACGUUGAUAGGCCGGGUGUGUAAGCGCAGCGAUGCGUUGAGCUAACCGGUACUAAUGAACCGUGAGGCUUAACCUUACAACGCCGAAGCUGUU